GGCCCAAUGGUCUAGUCGUAUGAUACGCGCUUCGGGAGUUUCCCAGUCCGGUCUGGACUUAAUGUGUGCGUGGUCCCGAGUUCAAUUCUCGGUUGGGCCC
Molecule: non-coding RNA, 100 nt
Organism: Fomitopsis serialis
Lineage: Eukaryota; Fungi; Basidiomycota; Agaricomycetes; Polyporales; Fomitopsidaceae
Source: the annotation of a RefSeq genome assembly